This 205-nucleotide small RNA is filed under the name Prochlorococcus marinus subsp. pastoris str. CCMP1986. RNAcentral describes it as "Cyanobacterial functional RNA 21". It matches the Rfam family "Cyanobacterial functional RNA 21". RNAcentral also lists the same sequence under 1 other name. The record is from Rfam by way of RNAcentral. Lineage: Bacteria; Bacillati; Cyanobacteriota; Cyanophyceae; Synechococcales; Prochlorococcaceae.
GGAAUUUUCUUUUUGGAUUCGAAACCUUUCAUGAUCUUAAACAUAACCUCUCAUUCAGAAAUUUUGUCAUGAUUUAAUAAAUCAAUUGGCUUGCUUAACCCUUAUUUAAAAAACAAAUCUUUUUUAAUUGGACACAAAUAAUAUCGGCACAACAUGUUGCAAUAAAAUUAAUGUUUAAAUUUUAUCCUCAAAAACCACUGCUAUG